UACGUAGGGGGCAAGCGUUGUCCGGAAUUAUUGGGCGUAAAGAGCGCGUAGGCGGUCCGAUAAGUCGGCUGUGAAAGUCAGGGGCUCAACCCUUGAAAGCCGGCCGAUACUGUCGGACUAGAGUCCGGAAGAGGCGAGUGGAAUUCCCGGUGUAGCGGUGAAAUGCGCAGAUAUCGGGAGGAACACCGGUGGCGAAGGCGGGUCUCUGGGCCGAUACUGACGCUGAGGAGCGAAAGCGUGGGGAGCGAACAGG
This 253-nucleotide ribosomal RNA is filed under the name uncultured bacterium. RNAcentral describes it as "partial 16S ribosomal RNA". It matches the Rfam family "Bacterial small subunit ribosomal RNA", at positions 524 to 776 of the family's 1533-position model. The record is from RNAcentral.